Long non-coding RNA from Cydia splendana, 297 nucleotides. RefSeq lists it as uncharacterized. The record is from RefSeq and is a predicted model, not a curated record. The transcript has 2 exons. Lineage: Eukaryota; Metazoa; Arthropoda; Insecta; Lepidoptera; Tortricidae.
GUGAAAUAUUCUAAUAAAUCAAAAUGCUGGCUGCAACCAGGACCCUGCUGAGGAGCAAUGCUCAAAUCGCCAAGAACAUCGUCCAGAAGAGGAACAUGACCCUGAUCGUCACACCCGCCAGGGAAAAGGUUACGAACGCUGAGAUGUUCAUCCUGGCCGGCACCAUGGUGGUCGGCUGGCAGAUCGUCCCCGCCUGGGUGCUCCUCCACAUGAGGCACUACCGCCAUCUUGAAUAGCCGCCAUUUUGAUUGCAGCGUCUCUACAAGUGUGUGUAGUUAAUAAAUUGUAUUGGUAAAA